AAAGUGAGACAUCUUGUCAUGCAUUAACAGGGGACCGGAGCUAGUACUAGAGGUCACUUUCUCCGCCAGGAUAAUGAAGAGCUUGGGCCAUGCGUAGGCCCACAUGCAUGGAUAGGCCUAGCAAGACCAUUAGCCAAACAAGGCACAAGUGCCCUGCAAGCCUUAGAUAAGGCUUCUGUUUUUUUCUUUUUUUUUUUGGUCGAAACCUUAGAUAAGGCUUGGAAGGGCUCAAAG
RNAcentral lists this long non-coding RNA (234 nucleotides) under Prunus persica (peach). RNAcentral describes it as "long non-coding RNA (PPER_LNC001830)". The record is from RNAcentral. Lineage: Eukaryota; Viridiplantae; Streptophyta; Magnoliopsida; Rosales; Rosaceae.